This 292-nucleotide ribosomal RNA is filed under the name uncultured bacterium. RNAcentral's name for it is "partial 16S ribosomal RNA". It matches the Rfam family "Bacterial small subunit ribosomal RNA", at positions 505 to 796 of the family's 1533-position model. The record is from RNAcentral.
GUGUCAGCAGCCGCGGUAAUACGGAGGGCGCAAGCGUUGUUCGGAAUCACUGGGCGUAAAGCGCGUGUAGGCGGCUUGGCAAGUCGGGUGUGAAAUCCCGAGGCUCAACCUCGGAACUGCACUCGAAACUGCCUGGCUCGAGUCCCGGAGAGGGUGGCGGAAUUCCCGGUGUAGGGGUGAAAUCCGUAGAUAUCGGGAGGAACACCAGUGGCGAAGGCGGCCACCUGGACGGUGACUGACGCUGAGACGCGAAAGCGUGGGGAGCAAACAGGAUUAGAAACCCGGGUAGUCC